UGAGUAACCUGCCCUUAACUCUGGGAUAAGCCUGGGAAACUGGGUCUAAUACCGGAUAUGACUCCUCAUCGCAUGGUGGGGGGUGGAAAGCUUUAUUGUGGUUUUGGAUGGACUCGCGGCCUAUCAGCUUGUUGGUGAGGUAAUGGCUCACCAAGGCGACGACGGGUAGCCGCCUGAGAGGGUGUCCGGCCACACUGGGACUGAGAUACGGUCCAGACUCCGUACGGGAGGUAG
RNAcentral lists this ribosomal RNA (234 nucleotides) under uncultured bacterium. RNAcentral describes it as "partial 16S ribosomal RNA". It matches the Rfam family "Bacterial small subunit ribosomal RNA", at positions 118 to 351 of the family's 1533-position model. The record is from RNAcentral.